AUUGAACGCUGGCGGCAGGCCUAACACAUGCAAGUCGAGCGGAUGAAGGGAGCUUGCUCCUGGAUUCAGCGGCGGACGGGUGAGUAAUGCCUAGGAAUCUGCCUGGUAGUGGGGGAUAACGUCCGGAAACGGGCGCUAAUACCGCAUACGCCCUGAGGGAGAAAGUGGGGGAUCUUCGGACCUCACGCUAUCAGAUGGGCCUAGGUGGGAUUAGCUAGUUGGUGGGGUAAAGGCCUACCAAGGCGACGAUCCGUAACUGGUCUGAGAGGAUGAUCAGUCACACUGGAACUGAGACACGGUCCAGACUCCUACGGGAGGCAGCAGUGGGGAAUAUUGGACAAUGGGCGAAAGCCUGAUCCAGCCAUGCCGCGUGUGUGAAGAAGGUCUUCGGAUUGUAAAGCACUUUAAGUUGGAAGGAAGGGCAGUAAGUUAAUACCUUGCUGUUUUGACGUUACCAACAGAAUAAGCACCGGCUAACUUCGUG
Molecule: ribosomal RNA, 484 nt
Filed under: uncultured bacterium
Lineage: Bacteria
Description: partial 16S ribosomal RNA
Rfam family: Bacterial small subunit ribosomal RNA
Source: RNAcentral